RNAcentral lists this unclassified non-coding RNA (504 nucleotides) under Hevea brasiliensis (rubber tree). Lineage: Eukaryota; Viridiplantae; Streptophyta; Magnoliopsida; Malpighiales; Euphorbiaceae. The record is from RNAcentral.
GAGUACUUUCUUCUUCAGAUUUGUUAGCACAAGUAAUUUUGUUGUUUAUGACAAUGUGUGAUAUUAGUUUGACUGCGGCAAGAUCUUUCUACUCCAGUUGUUUAAAAAUUGGUGUUCUGUGAUGUCCAAAUGGAUCAGUGAUGGAAUGCCUUCUGUUUCUAUUACUCACCCAUAACAUGUACCAUGCUGUUAUUAAUUUUUUUUUUCAGAUUAAACCUUUUUAUCAAAACCAGUAAUAUGAUAAAAUAUUUUUAACAAUUUAUUUUUAAAUGUGUCACAAAAUUUGCAAGGUGAAGAAGCUUGACUUAAUUGUUCAAAAGAUAGUCACUCAUAACCAUAAACUUGUAGUUAUCUUUUGAGACUUCAAAAUAUGAAUGCCCCAAAAACUCUAUAGAUUUCAUUCAUGAAUUCUUUUGUAAAUAAAAAAAAUAACAGACUGGAUACUCCCCAUAUGUGAUUAGGUUUCCCAAAUAUUUGAAAGUUUAAAAUUGAAUUAUGUCUUUG